GACGAACGCCGGCGGCGUGCCUAAUACAUGCAAGUUGAGCGAUGAAGAUUGGUGCUUGCACCAAUUUGAAGAGCAGCGAAUGGGUGAGUAACGCGUGGGGAAUCUGCCUUUGAGCGGGGGACAACAUUUGGAAACGAAUGCUAAUACCGCAUAACAACUUUAAACAUAAGUUUUAAGUUUGAAAGAUGCAAUUGCAUCACUCAAAGAUGAUCCCGCGUUGUAUUAGCUAGUUGGUGAGGUAAAGGCUCACCAAGGCGAUGAUACAUAGCCGACCUGAGAGGGUGAUCGGCCACAUUGGGACUGAGACACGGCCCAAACUCCUACAGGAGGCAGCAGUAGGGAAUCUUCGGCAAUGGACGAAAGUCUGACCGAGCAACGCCGCGUGAGUGAAGAAGGUUUUCGGAUCGUAAAACUCUGUUGGUAGAGAAGAACGUUGGUGAGAGUGGAAAGCUCAUCAAGUGACGGUAACUACCCAGAAAGGGACGGCUAACUACGUG
RNAcentral lists this ribosomal RNA (497 nucleotides) under uncultured bacterium. Its description in RNAcentral is "partial 16S ribosomal RNA". It matches the Rfam family "Bacterial small subunit ribosomal RNA", at positions 28 to 507 of the family's 1533-position model. The record is from RNAcentral.